Molecule: ribosomal RNA, 400 nt
Filed under: phytoplankton environmental sample
Lineage: Eukaryota
Description: partial small subunit ribosomal RNA
Rfam family: Eukaryotic small subunit ribosomal RNA
Source: RNAcentral
AGCUCCAAUAGCGUAUAUUAAAGUUGUUGCAGUUAAAAAGCUCGUAGUUGGAUUUCUGGUAGGAGUGACCGUUCCGAACUUGAUUGUUCGUGUAUUGUGUUUUCUCCAGCCAUCCUUGUGGAGAACUUUUCUUGCAUUAAUUUGUAGGGAUUGGGACCCGCAUCGUUUACUGUGAAAAAAUUAGAGUGUUCAAAGCAGGCUUAGGCCGUUGGAUACAUUAGCAUGGAAUAAUGAGAUAGGGCCACGACGGUCUAUUUUGUUGGUUUGCACGUUGUGGUAAUGAUUAACAGGAACGGUUGGGGGUAUUCGUAUUCAAUUGUCAGAGGUGAAAUUCUUGGAUUUAUGGAAGACGAACUACUGCGAAAGCAUUUACCAUGGAUGUUUUCAUUAAUCAAGAACG